Coffea arabica (coffee) is the source of this 652-nucleotide long non-coding RNA. RefSeq lists it as uncharacterized. Lineage: Eukaryota; Viridiplantae; Streptophyta; Magnoliopsida; Gentianales; Rubiaceae. The record is from RefSeq and is a predicted model, not a curated record.
GUACAGGUAUCUUUUCUGAUUGUUGCUGAGUUUACUGCAUACUUUGGGGAUAGGUAUGUCGUGUAUGCAUCUGAAAUUAUGAGACUAGAAACUCCUUUCUGGGUUUCUGUCCUCGAUUUAUAUCCUUCCCAAGGUAAGAUGUCCGGCAUCUGUGUAGUCUCUGCAUUCAGGUUGAGGCAGGCAAUCCAGUCAGAAGCUCACCCGUGUAUGCCUAUAUUGGUUUCUACACUCUGAUUGCAAAUCUAUGGAGGGUAAGAAAGAUUUGAAAGGCUAUCGCACGCUCACAGAUCCUGAAUGUAGAAAGCAAAGACAACUUGAAAGAUGCAAAGUUGGGUUAUGUCGUGAUGCUGGGGAGGUUUUGAAGUGUAGAACAUUGAUUUCUUCUGUUCGUGGUUGAAGACAUUGCAAAGAUAGCUGCUGUUCAUUUGGAAUCAGCAAUGCUUGCCAUUUAAUGGGAACCGUUCAUUUUUAAAAUGAGAUUUUUGGCUAUUACUGCUUAAGAUAUUGUCAAUUACAGAAGACAAAACUGGGUAUUGGUCCUGCUAAAAAUGCAGUGAUACUCAACUAAUAAUAAUGUCUAUUUAUUCUUCAAUUUGGAAAAAUGUUGGUUUAUCCAUAAACAUCCACUAGUUCCUCAUUUGCGAACUUUCAU